This 1412-nucleotide ribosomal RNA is filed under the name Bacillus amyloliquefaciens. RNAcentral describes it as "bacterial SSU rRNA". It matches the Rfam family "Bacterial small subunit ribosomal RNA". The record is from RNAcentral. Lineage: Bacteria; Bacillati; Bacillota; Bacilli; Caryophanales; Bacillaceae.
AGUCGAGCGGACAGAUGGGAGCUUGCUCCCUGAUGUUAGCGGCGGACGGGUGAGUAACACGUGGGUAACCUGCCUGUAAGACUGGGAUAACUCCGGGAAACCGGGGCUAAUACCGGAUGGUUGUUUGAACCGCAUGGUUCAGACAUAAAAGGUGGCUUCGGCUACCACUUACAGAUGGACCCGCGGCGCAUUAGCUAGUUGGUGAGGUAACGGCUCACCAAGGCAACGAUGCGUAGCCGACCUGAGAGGGUGAUCGGCCACACUGGGACUGAGACACGGCCCAGACUCAUACGGGAGGCAGCAGUAGGGAAUCUUCCGCAAUGGACGAAAGUCUGACGGAGCAACGCCGCGUGAGUGAUGAAGGUUUUCGGAUCGUAAAGCUCUGUUGUUAGGGAAGAACAAGUGCCGUUCAAAUAGGGCGGCACCUUGACGGUACCUAACCAGAAAGCCACGGCUAACUACGUGCCAGCAGCCGCGGUAAUACGUAGGUGGCAAGCGUUGUCCGGAAUUAUUGGGCGUAAAGGGCUCGCAGGCGGUUUCUUAAGUCUGAUGUGAAAGCCCCCGGCUCAACCGGGGAGGGUCAUUGGAAACUGGGGAACUUGAGUGCAGAAGAGGAGAGUGGAAUUCCACGUGUAGCGGUGAAAUGCGUAGAGAUGUGGAGGAACACCAGUGGCGAAGGCGACUCUCUGGUCUGUAACUGACGCUGAGGAGCGAAAGCGUGGGGAGCGAACAGGAUUAGAUACCCUGGUAGUCCACGCCGUAAACGAUGAGUGCUAAGUGUUAGGGGGUUUCCGCCCCUUAGUGCUGCAGCUAACGCAUUAAGCACUCCGCCUGGGGAGUACGGUCGCAAGACUGAAACUCAAAGGAAUUGACGGGGGCCCGCACAAGCGGUGGAGCAUGUGGUUUAAUUCGAAGCAACGCGAAGAACCUUACCAGGUCUUGACAUCCUCUGACAAUCCUAGAGAUAGGACGUCCCCCUUCGGGGGCAGAGUGACAGGUGGUGCAUGGUUGUCGUCAGCUCGUGUCGUGAAAUGUUGGGUUAAGUCCCGCAACGAGCGCAACCCUUGAUCUUAGUUGCCAGCAUUCAGUUGGGCACUCUAAGGUGACUGCCGGUGACAAACCGGAGGAAGGUGGGGAUGACGUCAAAUCAUCAUGCCCCUUAUGACCUGGGCUACACACGUGCUACAAUGGGCAGAACAAAGGGCAGCGAAACCGCGAGGUUAAGCCAAUCCCACAAAUCUGUUCUCAGUUCGGAUCGCAGUCUGCAACUCGACUGCGUGAAGCUGGAAUCGCUAGUAAUCGCGGAUCAGCAUGCCGCGGUGAAUACGUUCCCGGGCCUUGUACACACCGCCCGUCACACCACGAGAGUUUGUAACACCCGAAGUCGGUGAGGUAACCUUUUAGGAGCCAGC